AACGUAGGAGACAACCGUUAUCCGGAGUUACUGGGCGUAAAGGGCGUGUAGGUGGUUUUGUAAGUCUGGCGUGAAAUUUUUCGGCUUAACCGGGAAAGGUCGUCGGAUACUGCAGGACUAGAGGACGGUAGAGGCGUGUGGAAUUCCGGGUGUAGUGGUGAAAUGCGUAGAGAUCCGGAGGAACACCAGUGGCGAAGGCGACACGCUGGGCCGUACCUGACACUGAUGCGCGACAGCAUGGGGAGCAAACAGG
This 253-nucleotide ribosomal RNA is filed under the name uncultured bacterium. Its description in RNAcentral is "partial 16S ribosomal RNA". It matches the Rfam family "Bacterial small subunit ribosomal RNA", at positions 524 to 776 of the family's 1533-position model. The record is from RNAcentral.